Molecule: ribosomal RNA, 497 nt
Filed under: uncultured bacterium
Lineage: Bacteria
Description: partial 16S ribosomal RNA
Rfam family: Bacterial small subunit ribosomal RNA
Source: RNAcentral
GAUGAACGCUGGCGGCGUGCCUAACACAUGCAAGUCGAGCGAACGGACCAGAAGCUUGCUUCUCUGAUGUUUGCGGCGGACGUGUGAGUCACACGUGGAUAACCUACCUAUAAGACUGGGAUCACUUCGGGAAUCCGGCGCUAAUCCCGGAUAAUCUUCUGAUCCGCAUGGUUCAAAAGUGAAAGACGGUCUUGCUGUCACUUAUAGAUGGAUCCGCGCUGCAUUAGCUAGUUGGUAAGGUAACGGCAUACCAAGGCAACGAUGCAUAGCCGACGUGAGAGGGUGGUCGGCGGCACUGGAGCUCGAACACGGGCCGGGGUCCUACGGGACGCACCAGAAGGGAAUCUUCCGCAAUAGGCGAGAGCCUGACGGAGCAGCACGGAGUGAGUGAUGAAGGUCUUCGGAUCGUGAAGCUCUGUUAUUAGGGGAGAACAUAUGUGUAAGUAACUGAACAGAUCUUGACGGUACCGAGUCAAAAAGCCACGGCUAACUACGUG